UNCCAGGGUAUUUAGCCUAGUUGGCAAGC
This 29-nucleotide non-coding RNA is filed under the name Homo sapiens (human). Lineage: Eukaryota; Metazoa; Chordata; Mammalia; Primates; Hominidae. The record is from RNAcentral.